Molecule: long non-coding RNA, 3165 nt
Organism: Dromaius novaehollandiae (emu)
Lineage: Eukaryota; Metazoa; Chordata; Aves; Casuariiformes; Dromaiidae
Exons: 3
Source: RefSeq, a predicted model, not a curated record
GGGUGAAUGGUGCUUGUUGCCGUUGAGUUGUACUCGGCUUGCUCUGGAAAGCACCACAGAAGUCCUUGCAUAGCUACAAGGAAGAGCUCAUGUUGUUCAAAACUGGUUCUCAUCAUGCUUCUUUCAUCCUGGGUUUUGUAACACCCUUUGAAAAUGAUGUUCCUAUUAAGGCUGCCUGCCGAGAGGAGACUUUAUUAAUCUACCUGAGGGAGCGCUGCGCUUGGCGGGCAGAUCCUGGAAGGCGGAAGGCACGGAGGCAGGGGCGCCCUGAGGAAAGGAGGAUGACCAGAUGCUAUGAUGUUUGGAGCUACCACCAGCUGGCAACAGAUUCCUAAUUCAGUUUUGGACGCUGUCUCUGUCCCCCUUCUGCCACAAGGAGUGAGGAGAAGCUAGGAGUGACAGAGAUACUUGAUUGACUGUGAUGCAGGAGACAUGGCAGGGAGAACCAUCCUAGAAGCAUAUGGGAGGUAUAUAAAUUCUUCAAGAUGCUUGAGAGCAGCAAUACCUGCCAGAAUUGCAAGCAGUAGAACAAAACUCCAGCCUAACUGAUCAUAUUCAACAGCUGCUUCCUUCCAUUUUCUUCUCUUGUGGUUGUAGUAGUUGCCACUCUUUCUUCUUUUUGUCUCAGUUCCCUAAAGGAAGCAGGUUUCUGCCUUGCUGUGACUCCUUGGGUGAAAAUAGUACUUUUAGGACAACUCAAUGGGCAACAAAAAACAGGAAGAGUCUGCAGAGACUCAUGCAUGCAGAGAGAAAUUUUGUAUGAUCAUUUAUAUAUGAAGACUACAGCUCAACUGACAAAUGGCUCUGGUCUCCUUGAGUGGUUAUAGACAAUUCAGAAACAAAGCUAUCCUUGGGAAAGAUAUCACUUUGCAGCCUGUUAAAAGGCAUAAAAGGAAAGGAAAAGAAGAUCCAUUCCUUGGGAAAUUAAAAAAUAGCACUUCACUACGGUCAGUUCUGCAUGAUAUAAUUGUGCAAUGACUUCUCGGAGAAUUGGCUAGAUAGCCAGGAAGUUCUUUCCCAUCAACAGCGCUAAUGGAAUAUGCAGCUGGAUAUCUCCAACAAAAUCAUCAGAAGACAGUUUAAUCAGCUGGUAUGAAGUGGUCGUUAUUAGGGAUGUUAUUGAGUUGCUCACACAAAGGUGUCUAGUGCCAUUUGAAGUAUCCUACAGCAUUUAAGACGUCCUCAGGGCCCUAGUCUCCAGAUGCAAUCCCAAUGGGCAUGGAUUUCCCAGAGGUCCUCUCCAUAAGGAGAGGUCCAGCCCCAUAGGAAUGUCUCAAAUACCCUAAAGCAUCUUAGAUGGCACUUGACAUUUAUGUGUAUGCAACUGAACUGGUCCCUGCUUUCUGAGUUCAGAUUCCAAUCAGAUAAAUAGAAGUAGAUGCCAUCACCCGAUGCCGCCAUGCCUUCUCGGAUUAUCUGCAGGUCAGCGGGAAUAGCACUACAUUAGACAACAUGCCAAAGGUCAUCUUUGCAAUUACAAGCCCAUUGUUAGGAGUCUUUCGUGAUAACUAGUAGAAAAAGAGGAAGCAUCAAACAGCUCUUAAAAUGUGGGCAGUUGAACCUUAAUUAAAAGAUUUUUACUCCUGUAUUAUGUGGCUUCCCAGAGCUCUGUACAUUAAAGACAGUGUUGCCUCUUUUUGCAAAAGUAACAGUAAGAAUCAGUAAGAGAUGAGGAAUAUGUUUUAUGUGCCUUCAUCUUCCAACUAAAAUUCCUGACUGAACCAAAAGAUAAAAUUAUUGUCUGUAACUAUACAGGAGAUGAGAUCAAGUGGGUUUGUGUUUAAAUAGAUGCUGGAAUGGAAUCCUGAUGGUGCUGUAAGGAAGACAAGACCUUGGGAAAUAACCUCUGUAGAAAUGAGAAGAAUAAUACAACCAUGCAGACACAUGUACAGUGGGUAAUGAAACUAAAUUUUAAAAGUGUAAUACAUGUUUUACCAUAAAAAAUGAACAUUUAAGAGGGUCACUCAGUACUAAUUUGUAAAUGGUUCUUUUAAGAAUAUUUUGUAAUAGAUGAUUUGGCUGCUGGAUGGUAGUGGAAAAUGAACUACUGAAUUUUGUAAAUAUUCAGCAGGAUCUUGUUGAUUAUGGAAAAACAAAGUACACACACACCCCAGGCCCCAAUAGCAUGCAAAAGUGUGUAGUAAGUUAUCUUUAAAAAGCAGCCAAACUGGCAGUGCUUAAAAAACAAACCAGUAACCGGUUAAUGUAACAUUUAGGAUCUUAAAUACUUGCAUGUUUCUUGCUUUUCAAAUUAACCUGUAAAAGCCAGUGGGUUUCAUGUGCAAUAUUUAGAUGAGUUUUAAGAAAAUAUUACCUUGUUUCCAGAAAUAUUUUGCAUGUAAAGCAAGUAUGUUAAGACAUUUUGAUAACACACAUUAAAGAGUUCCUGAUCCUGCAAACUACUAAGCACUUCCUCUGAGUGGAAUCACUUAAUUCCCAGGCUUUGCUCAACAUCACGCUUAAUUAAACUUUUGCUAAUAAACGUGAAGAGCCCAAUUUAGCUUCAUAGCUAAACUCCAUUGACAAAGUGGUUGUUCAGUAAAGCCCACUUAGCUGCCUGUGGAUUUAUUUUUCGUCUCCCAUGCAAUAUUUGUACAUAUAUAUAUAAAUAUAUGUGUAUUUUUAAAGCAAGAUUUUUAGACAUUCAAGAUGUGAAAAAAAUAAUUACUUCACAACAUAAACGAAAAUUAUUUCUUUAAAGAAAAUGUUUUGUCAGGGUAGCUUCUUAAAUUUGAAUAUAAAAUAUCUCACAAACCAACAUACAUCUUUAUUAUGAUGUUCUCCUCUAGUAUAUUUUAUGCUUGAAUGUUCUUAAAUGCAAAUGUAUAAAUUACAACUUUAUUCUUAUUGUGAAGAAAGGGGUAAGAAUGUAAAUUGUAAGUUUAGUCAUAAAACUGCAACAUUUUUCUGUUCUAUGAUGCUAUUAAGAAAGAUAACAGGACAAAAGUUUUGCUUUCUAUAUCCUGUCACCACACUUGUCUGAUAGGAUAAUCUGAGUUCUACACUCUUUCUGCUUUCAACUUAAAACCAUUAAUGAGAAUUUUUAAACAAGCAAACUUGAUCUUAUGUAAAAAUAAUGCUUUGUAUGUACUAUGUAUUUUCCAGCUGCUGUCCAGUAAUAGGCACCAUUUGAAGCUUUUUGCUCAGAUAAAAUUUUCUCAGGAA